Macaca mulatta (Rhesus monkey) is the source of this 2610-nucleotide long non-coding RNA. RefSeq lists it as uncharacterized. Lineage: Eukaryota; Metazoa; Chordata; Mammalia; Primates; Cercopithecidae. The record is from RefSeq and is a predicted model, not a curated record.
GGAGAUGGGGGGGCACUGGUGAUGCAAGUUCGGGGAGGAGCCAGCCGAGGCGCGUUCCCCCAGCCUCGCUUACUGAGACACACACCAGCCCGCCCUCUCUCUCCAUAUCAGGACCGGAGUCGCCUGGGAUAGCCGCCAGAUUUUGGAAUCUCCAAGUUACACCUGGAUAGAAAUGCUGUCCGCUGUUCACAGAAGUCUGAUCCUGACAUUCUCAACCCUGAAAGUGAUAAGAAUCUUGACAGAGAACUAAGUCCACUCCCACUUGAAUGAAACUCUUAUCCAAGGAAAACAAAAGCUACUCCUGCCUGCCUCCCUCCCCUCAGCCCCCAGGAGAACCGUGAAAUGCCUGCUGAAUUGAGAGACUGGAAAAGAACAGAGCAAGGCAGAGCCCCUGAGGUCUUUGCCACAGGAGAGUGAUCAACAUCUGAGUCCUUUGCAUCCUCAUUUUACCCUGACUUAAGUUAAUGCCACCAAUGUCCAGUGUGCACACUCUCAGCACACACACAGCCAGUGCCAUGCAGAGGAGCGCACAGAAAAACUUUCCACACCAAAACUCCUCUCGACGCAAACCAAAGAAUGGCUGUCUUGCCUUAGAAGGAAGCCCUGGCUAGGGUGAUUUCAGGGGUUAAUCCUCAAUGAAAGACGGUUAAGCAGAGACUUGAAGAUUGCUGAGGUUUUAUGCUGGUGAACGGCCUGGGGAAUCCACAUUCGGAUCAGCCUUGGUAUGUUUUGCUGAGUGAGAUAAGAGUUGGAGACUUCAUGCUGGGACAUGUGCAAAAGGAAGGGAAAAAAUAAAAAAGGGGAGGGGAAGGAACUAGGUAAUUGAAAACAGCCCACUCGUGGCAACCAAAUCUAAACAGAAAAACAUUGCAGGGAGCCAACGCGAAAAAAAAAAAAAAAAAAAAAAAGUUCGAGAUAUUUAAUGGUUCUAGCAGUUUCUUAGUUCAGUGCACAAUCCCUUCCCACAUUCCUCUGCCCCAUUACUCUGUUCUGUAAACCCUAAGACUGUAUUUGCACCCAGAAUGCUAGAAACACAAGGUAAGAUCCACCAGAGGAGCGGCAGAGUACUACCAGCCCUGUCUGCCUAGCUCAACCUACUUCUUCGCUUUGAAACGGGAGUGGAGUCGAUUUUCUUAUACUUUAUUCUGUUUCUGAAGCCCACUCUUUCUACAAAGUCAGUCUGAAUGUGGUGACUGCUAGUUUAAUAGCGUCCAAAAUGGGCAUUGUCAGGAAACAGGUGCAGCAUCACACAGUAGGCACCAAAGUGUGGAAGGCACUUGGAUUCUGGAUUCAGCACUUAGAUGCUGUGUCACCUUAAGUAAGUCAUUUCUUCAAAUGAAAAAUGGCACUAACAAUAGUGCCUAAUGCAUAAAAUUGUUAUGACAUUUCUCUGAGGAUGUGGCACCCGGUCAGCCCUCAAUAGUGGUAUCAUUAGUUAAUUAUGAAUCAAGAAAAGCUUUCUGAGGUGCCCCUGAAUCUCUCCAGGAACUCAUUGAGUACCCCUUGUCAGUGGCAAAUAGUGGAUGAAGUCGAGCGAUCUCCAGGAAUGACAAUCAUAAGGGGGUGGGAAUGAGAGCCCAGGCAGACACCGAUGAGAACGGUCCUCAUUCCCCAUCACAGCAACUCCACCACACACCUGGGGCUCUCCUCAAUGCUGGGUGGCCCUGCCAAGUAUCCUGGGCUAGGAGGAGGGGAUUUGGGUUCAGGGUCUGGUUCUGUCUUUGAUAUGCUUGAGCAAGGCACUCCCCCUUUCUAAGGCUCCCAACUUUUCUGAAGUGAGGAGCCUUGGACUGAGCUCUGAUGGUCCUGAAUGGGGACCCUCUGCCAAAGCCACCCUAUGGGCCUCUGGCAACUUUCCCUAAGAGAGAUGGGGAGAGAGAAGACAUCAUAGGUAAGGCACUGAAUACCACAGGGGCAGACCCAUUUAUGCAACCUUUCUUCCCCUCCAAAAACUAGAGUUAAGAAAUGCUGUCCAACUUAAACACAGCCUUUCUCCCACCUCCAAUACUUCCAAGAGUUUUCAUCCCCAUGGACUAGGUGCCUUGUGAGAGAGGGGCGUGGCAGAACACUCCAGGCAUGGAUUACAUCUCUGGGGACUUCUUACAUGUAGCCCAUCAUCAACAACCAUAGACAUCUACCUUGGUCUACAGGGCCAAAACCCAGGUAGCAGAUACUCCCAUUUGAGAGAUUAAAUCCUGGAGACCCCAGAAUCCAAAAUGAAGUCCUGGAAGUCAGGGGAUUAGCAGGACUCAGGAGACCUGGGAUUCAUUCACAGGUUUACCUCCAGUCAACUGAGUAAGUAUACAGUGAGUAUACAAGUCAUAAACAUGAUGUCUCAGUUUCCCAGUCUAUAAAACGGAACUACUUAGCAUUGACUCCCCCUAGGUUGUUGUAAGAAUCAAAUGAGAUAGUAGAUGUGAAAGUGAUUUGAAAAUAAAAGAUUUCUUUGGGGAAAGUUUUACUAUAAUUUUUUUGUCAUUAUGAAAAUUUGGGAAACAGACAAGAAAAAAAUAUUACCCACAAUCUCAACACUGUCAGCACUGUAGUGUGUUUCCCUCUAAUCUUUUUUCUCAUGUACAUGAUUGUAAAAUAUAGUUACGAUUUUAUAUU